GAAGGUUCGGCCCUUCGGUGCCGCCCUGCGGGGGGAGGUAUCAAACCGCCUCAUGCUGCGUUGGCUGAAGACCGUCGUGGUGAGCGAUGAGGAGAAGGCGCGGAUUACCGUGUCAGGU
Molecule: non-coding RNA, 118 nt
Filed under: Blastococcus mobilis
Lineage: Bacteria; Bacillati; Actinomycetota; Actinomycetes; Geodermatophilales; Geodermatophilaceae
Source: RNAcentral